UGCAGUCGAGCGGAUGAAGGGAGCUUGCUCCCUGAUUUAGCGGCGGACGGGUGAGUAAUGCCUAGGAAUCUGCCUGGUAGUGGGGGAUAACGUUCCGAAAGGAACGCUAAUACCGCGUACGUCCUACGGGAGAAAGCAGGGGACCUUCGGGCCUUGCGCUAUCAGAUGAGCCUAGGUCGGAUUAGCUAGUUGGUGAGGUAAUGGCUCACCAAGGCGACGAUCCGUAACUGGUCUGAGAGGAUGAUCAGUCACACUGGAACUGAGACACGGUCCAGACUCCUACGGGAGGCAGCAGUGGGGAAUAUUGGACAAUGGGCGAAAGCCUGAUCCAGCCAUGCCGCGUGUGUGAAGAAGGUCUUCGGAUUGUAAAGCACUUUAAGUUGGGAGGAAGGGCUGCUGGUUAAUACCCUGCAGUUUUGACGUUACCAACAGAAUAAGCACCGGCUAACUUCGUGCCAGCAGCCGCGGUAAUACGAAGGGUGCAAGCGUUAAUCGGAAUUACUGGGCGUAAAGCGCGCGUAGGUGGUUCGUUAAGUUGGAUGUGAAAGCCCCGGGCUCAACCUGGGAACUGCAUCCAGAACUGGCGAGCUAAAGUACGGUAGAGGGUGGGGGAAUUUCCUGUGUAGCGGUGAAAUGCGUACAUAUAGGAAGGAACACCAGUGGCGAAGGCGACCACCUGGACUGAUACUGACACUGAGGUGCGAAAGCGUGUGGAGCAAACAGGAUUAGAUACCCUGGUAGUCCACGCCGUAAACGAUGUCAACUAGCCGUUGGAAUCCUUGAGAUUUUAGUGGCGCAGCUAACGCAUUAAGUUGACCGCCUGGGGAGUACGUCCGCAAGGAUAAAACUCAAAUGAAUUGACGGGGGCCCGCACAAGCGGUGGGGCAUGUGGUUUAAUUCGAAGCAACGCGAAAGACCUUACCUGGCCUUGACAUGCUGAAAACUUUCCACAGAUGGAUUGCUGCCUUCGGGAGCUCAGACUCAGGGGCUGCAUGGCUGU
Molecule: ribosomal RNA, 1000 nt
Filed under: Ectopseudomonas guguanensis
Lineage: Bacteria; Pseudomonadati; Pseudomonadota; Gammaproteobacteria; Pseudomonadales; Pseudomonadaceae
Description: bacterial SSU rRNA
Rfam family: Bacterial small subunit ribosomal RNA
Source: RNAcentral